Molecule: ribosomal RNA, 253 nt
Filed under: uncultured bacterium
Lineage: Bacteria
Description: partial 16S ribosomal RNA
Rfam family: Bacterial small subunit ribosomal RNA
Source: RNAcentral
UACAGAGACUGCAAGCGUUAUUCGGAUUCACUGGGCGUAAAGGGUGCGCAGGCGGCCAAGUGUGUGAGGCGUGAAAGCCUGGGGCUUAACCCCAGAAUUGCACCUCAAACUACUUGGCUAGAGCAUUGGAGAGGGUAGCAGAAUUCAUGGUGUAGCAGUGAAAUGCGUAGAUAUCAUGAGGAAUACCAGAGGCGAAGGCGGCUACCUGGACAAUUGCUGACGCUCAGGCACGAAAACGUGGGGAGCAAAAGGG